CCCUUAGAUGUUCUGGGCCGCACGCGUGCUACACUGAGUGGAUCAGCGGGUCAGGUUGCGCGAAAGCGUUUCCUAAUCUUUAAUUCCGCUCGUGAUGGGGAUUGACGGUUGCAAUUUUCUGUCAUGAACGAGGAAUACCUUGUAAGCGCGGGUCAUCAUCCCGCGCUGAAUACGUCCCUGCCCUUUGUACACACCGCCCGUCGCUCCUACCGAUUGAGUGGUCCGGUGAGGCUUUGGGAUCUGAGCGGAAAGAGCGUUUCGCUGUUUCUGCUCGGAAAACUCAGUCGAACCUUAUCAUUUAGAGGAAGGAGAAGUCGCAACA
This 322-nucleotide ribosomal RNA is filed under the name uncultured eukaryote. RNAcentral describes it as "partial 18S ribosomal RNA". It matches the Rfam family "Eukaryotic small subunit ribosomal RNA", at positions 1470 to 1796 of the family's 1831-position model. The record is from RNAcentral.